RNAcentral lists this ribosomal RNA (253 nucleotides) under uncultured bacterium. RNAcentral's name for it is "partial 16S ribosomal RNA". It matches the Rfam family "Bacterial small subunit ribosomal RNA", at positions 524 to 776 of the family's 1533-position model. The record is from RNAcentral.
UACGGGGGGGGCAAGCGUUGUUCGGAAUUACUGGGCGUAAAGCGCUCGUAGGCGGCCAACUAAGUCAGACGUGAAAUCCCCAGGCUUAACCUGGGAACUGCGUCUGAUACUGGAUGGCUUGAGAUUGGGAGAGGGAUGCGGAAUUCCAGGUGUAGCGGUGAAAUGCGUAGAUAUCUGGAGGAACACCGGUGGCGAAGGCGACAUCCUGGACCAACACUGACGCUGAGGAGCGAAAGCCAGGGGAGCAAACGGG